This 427-nucleotide ribosomal RNA is filed under the name uncultured bacterium. Its description in RNAcentral is "partial 16S ribosomal RNA". It matches the Rfam family "Bacterial small subunit ribosomal RNA", at positions 355 to 774 of the family's 1533-position model. The record is from RNAcentral.
UGGGGAAUAUUGCACAAUGGGCGCAAGCCUGAUGCAGCGACGCCGCGUGGAGGAUGAAGGCUUUCGAGUUGUAAACUCCUGUUAAGUGGGAAGAAAGACUGUUGACUAAUAAUCAGCAGGGAUGACGGUACCACUAGAGAAAGCACCGGCAAACUUCGUGCCAGCAGCCGCGGUAAUACGAAGGGUGCAAGCGUUAUUCGGAGUUACUGGGCGUAAAGAGUAUGUAGGCGGUUUGUUAAGUUAGUUGUUAAAUACCAUGGCUCAACUGUGGAAAGGCAGCUAAUACUGAUGAGCUAGAGCGCAGAAGAGAGGAGUGGAAUUCCCGGAGUAGCGGUAAAAUGCGUAGAUCUCGGGAGGAACACCGGUUGCGAAGGCGGCUCCUUGGUCUGUGGCUGACGCUAAAGUACGAAAGCGUGGGGAGCAAACA